This is a long non-coding RNA of Megalobrama amblycephala (Wuchang bream), 1161 nucleotides long. RefSeq lists it as uncharacterized. Lineage: Eukaryota; Metazoa; Chordata; Actinopteri; Cypriniformes; Xenocyprididae. The record is from RefSeq and is a predicted model, not a curated record. The transcript is spliced from 3 exons.
GUGAGGCGUUUUCUCCUAUGCAGUGACUGACAAUGCAUAAGACACACCAAAGCACAACAUAAAUUCACAAAUGACAUCAACUUUAUUUGUUCACUGUACUCCAAAUCUUUAUAAUCCAUAUGUUUGUAAGGAAUAUAUCCAAAUUCUGCACUUUUUCUGGCGAUCUUCAUCUUCAUUCUCAGCAGCGACCUUCAUAGUCAAAGCCGCGCUCGCUAUGAUUCAAAUUUGAAAGUCACGCUGACGAGAACUGUUACGGCAUGGUUUACAGCAUUUAUAUCAAACGCUCAUUGGUUCUCACCUGCUUCAUCACAGAUUGCGACAUGCCGUGUUUCAGUGGAUUGACAUUUGAGUGCUCGCCUUCACGGAAAGAAAGCCGGAUUCAUCAUAUUUUCAUGGACUGCGACUGCAACUCAUCAUCAUUUGAACUAACGUACUUUUGGUACCACUUUUGAUUGUGAUUACGCUUGUCUCUUAUUCUUUUAUUUAUAACUGUACUGUUGUAAAGGAAAGUGCAAGCCAAUCCAGCAGAGGGCGCUAAAAGACUGUAUUAUUGUAUAACUGCCUGAAUUACUCGCGUUCUAAAAAGGAAGUUGUUUUUAGUUUGUAGUGGAGCGGCAAGCAAAAGGAAACCAGCUCUUUAAGUGUUGUUAAUACUGUUAAAAUCUUGCUUUGGUGGAUUUGUGCGUGUAGAAAACUCCAAUCAGAGCUGCUGACGUCACGGCCCUCGUCUGAACCCCUCACUCAGUCACACAGGGGCUUUCAGGUGAAUUAUAUUGUAUAAUUAUAAUUGUAUUGUACAAUAUAUUGUACAAUGUAUAAUUUAUUUAAUGAAACAUUGAAAGCGCAAUACAUCGCUCGAUCUUGGGAAUUCUGACCAGUUCAAUCAAGUGACAUCGCAGCCUGACAGAUGGCGACGACAACUGGGAAUUUAAUGGCCUACGCGAUCCUGAAAGAACCGGAGAAAAGUGCUGCUAUUUGGAGACGCUGUUCUUCACGAGUUUCUGCGGUCACUGCCUCUGUAAGCGGCCAUCAGACGCAAUAAUGAGAAGCUCAUUACAAGCAUCAGAAAAUGGAAUAUAAUGUGUAAUUUGUAUUUGUGUAUUUAGGGUCACCAUUGGUCCAAUAUUUUUUUUUUCUUUAAUGAAAAACAUGGUAAGUCUU